This 253-nucleotide ribosomal RNA is filed under the name uncultured bacterium. RNAcentral describes it as "partial 16S ribosomal RNA". It matches the Rfam family "Bacterial small subunit ribosomal RNA", at positions 524 to 776 of the family's 1533-position model. The record is from RNAcentral.
GACAGAGGGGGCGAGCGUUGUGCGGCGUCACUGGGCGGAAAGCGCGCGCAGGCGGUCGCCAAAGUGUCGUGUGAAAGCCCCCGGCUCAACCGGGGGAGGCCAUGGCAAACUCGGCGACUGGAGCGGCUGAGAGGCCCCUCGAAUUGCCGGUGUAGCGGUGAAAUGCGUAGAGAUCGGCAGGAAGACCAAGGGGGAAGCCAGGGGGCGGGCCGCUGGCUGACGCUGAGGCGCGACAGCGUGGGGAGCGAACCGG